AUGGAAGAACGUAUAUGGGUGUUUCCUGAAGAAAACAUAAAAAUGAUAAGAGAAAGAACAGAACAAAAAUUAAAUUGGAAUUAUAUUUUAAAAAAAAAUAAUCCUUUAUUAAUUGAUAACGUUAAUAAAAUAUAUGAAGGAAUAUAUAAAACAAAUAAUAUAGAUGAUAUAUAUUUUUAUUUUGAUACUUAUCCAUAUAAUUAUUUAAAUGUUACUAUGAGUGUUUUUUCACUUUAUAAAAUUGCUACUAGUUUUUUAAAAGAACAAAAAUGGAAAAAUAAAAGUGAAAGAGAAAAAUAUUUUUUUAUAAAUGAACAAAACGAUGAGAAUGAGAAAAGUUUAUCAGUACAUAAUAAUCAGUUACUUACUAACAAAAUAAUUAACGAAGGAAUUAACAACAACAACAACAACAACAACAAUAACACAAAUGAAAUGAAUAAUAUGUUUAUUGUUGAUAAUACAGACCAUGAAAUAAACAACACACAUUUGUUUAAAAUUAAAGAAGAAAGAAAAAGACUUAGUUAUAUUAUUAAUAAUCGAAAUUUUAAAAGAAUAAUCGGUUCUAUUUAUAAGCAUUUAAAAAUUAUUUAUAAAACAUUUACAACUAAUGAUAAAUUAACAACUUAUGAAAAAAAUAAAAACAUAUAUAAUUAUAUUCCAUAUAUUAAUAUAAUAGAUAUUAUUACUAUUUUAAAAUCUUUUUAUAUUUUAAAAUAUGAUCAUACAGAUAUAUAUAAAUAUAUAUUUUUUUUUAUUGUUUUUUUUAUUAAUAAAUUUAAUAUUGAAUAUUUAACUGAGGUUGUUUAUUUAUGUAUUAUAAAACAAAUUAAUAUUAAACCACUUUUUGAAAAUUACACUAAAAGAAUGCUUUUAUAUUUUCAAGAAGAAAAUGAAAAAUUGAAUAAAAGUGAUAACAUUGUAGAAAAUAUAAUACAAAAUAAUAUCAAUUCAAAUAAAAAAGAUCAACUAAGUAAGUCAAGUCCUAAAGAUAUGAAUUUUGUUCCAUCUAUUCAGACUGAUAAAACAACAUUGAUAGAUAAGAAAGAAAAAGAACAAAAUUAUACAGUAGGACUAGUAUCCGAAAAAAACAUUUAUAAUAAUAUAAAUUCGUUAUACCAAGAUAUAGAUAUAAGUAGUAUAGAUAAGAGUAUAGGAAAGAUACUUAGUGAACACAGCAGUGGUAAUAGUGGUGACAGUGGCAGUGGUAAUAGUGGUGACAGUGGCAGUGGUAAUAGUGGCGAUAGUUAUAGUGGUGAUGCUACUAACACAAAUGUCAACUACGAACAAACAUUUUUUUUUAUGCGUCCAUUUAAUUAUUCUAUUUACCAUUCGGCAAAUUAUUCAAAUUUAAACUAUAGUAUUGAUGAUCAAAAAAAAAUGAAUGAAAUAAAAAAAAAAAAUAAAACAGAGGAUGCAAAAAAAUUAACUUAUAGUGAUAAAACGAAUGAAAAAAAAAACAUUUUUUGA
RNAcentral lists this long non-coding RNA (1467 nucleotides) under Piliocolobus tephrosceles (Ugandan red Colobus). Its description in RNAcentral is "lncRNA (ENSPTEG00000021239.1)". The record is from RNAcentral. Lineage: Eukaryota; Metazoa; Chordata; Mammalia; Primates; Cercopithecidae.